CAGUCGCCACGGUAAUACGAAGGGUGCAAGCGUUAAUCGGAAUUACUGGGCGUAAAGCGUGCGUAGGCGGUUUGUUAAGUCUGCUGUGAAAUCCCCGGGCUCAACCUGGGAAUGGCAGUGGAUACUGGCAAGCUAGAGUGUGUCAGAGGAUGGUGGAAUUCCCGGUGUAGCGGUGAAAUGCGUAGAGAUCGGGAGGAACAUCAGUGGCGAAGGCGGCCAUCUGGGACAACACUGACGCUGAGGCACGAAAGCGUGGGGAGCAAACAGGAUUAGAUACCCCGGUAGUCCCUGUCUCUUAUAA
Molecule: ribosomal RNA, 301 nt
Filed under: uncultured bacterium
Lineage: Bacteria
Description: partial 16S ribosomal RNA
Rfam family: Bacterial small subunit ribosomal RNA
Source: RNAcentral